GACUGCUCCAGUGGUCUAAGUGGUUAAAGCAUCUGCCUUGGAUGCAGGUGGUCAUAGGUUCAAACCCUGGUUGAGUCA
Molecule: non-coding RNA, 78 nt
Organism: Potamilus streckersoni
Lineage: Eukaryota; Metazoa; Mollusca; Bivalvia; Unionida; Unionidae
Source: the annotation of a GenBank genome assembly